AGAGGCUUUGCCCACACAAAGCUCAUUGCAGGUUCAGAGCAUAAUAUGCUGGGCAGAGGAAGAAAGAGACUCCAUGCCACCAACUCCAAAGGAACAAGGGGAUGGAGCUCUCCUCUCAUCCCCCAGCUCCUCCUCCACUCCAGGAUGGAAACAAAAUGGCUGUCCUCUCCCUCUCCCUUUCUGAAACAAAAUAGCAGGCCUGGAGGAGAGAAGCUAGUGAAGUGCCAAAAUACUGUAAGAAAAUACACGUGAUCUGGUUUGAAGUGGAACAGGACCACAAGACCCAAGUAGUCUUACAGACAAUCCUAUGUACAGCUGACUCGAUUUAAUUCCACACUUUCCAAGUCAGGUCUACAGUUGUGUGAUCUGAAGAGCAGCAAAACAACAAUAGAUGUGCCACUUCUCACAGGUAACAGAAGAC
Long non-coding RNA from Mauremys reevesii (Reeves's turtle), 421 nucleotides. RefSeq lists it as uncharacterized. Lineage: Eukaryota; Metazoa; Chordata; Testudines; Geoemydidae. The record is from RefSeq and is a predicted model, not a curated record. The transcript is spliced from 4 exons.